This 709-nucleotide ribosomal RNA is filed under the name Lepus capensis (brown hare). Its description in RNAcentral is "partial 12S ribosomal RNA". It matches the Rfam family "Bacterial small subunit ribosomal RNA", at positions 302 to 1333 of the family's 1533-position model. The record is from RNAcentral. Lineage: Eukaryota; Metazoa; Chordata; Mammalia; Lagomorpha; Leporidae.
UCCCCUCUCCAGUGAGAAUGCCCUUAAUAUCAAUCUAGAUCAAGAGGAGCAGGUAUUAAGCACACUAACUAGUAGCUCAAGAUAUCUUGCUUAACCACACCCCCAAGGGAUACAGCAGUGAUAAAAAUUUAGCAAUGAACGCAAGUUUGACUAAGCUAUGCUACUUUAGGGUUGGUAAAUUUCGUGCCAGCCACCGCGGUCAUACGAUUAACCCAAACUAAUAAACACCCGGCGUAAAGCGUGAUUUAAAAUCAAAUAACAACUAAGCUGUAAAAAGUAAUAGUUGCAAACAAAAAUAAACGACGAAAGUGAUUUCAUAGUCUUCGAACUCACGAUAGCUAAGAUCCAAACUGGGAUUAGAUACCCCACUAUGCUUAGCCUUAAACCUAGAUAAUUUCAUAACAAAAUUAUUCGCCAGAGAACUACAAGCCAGAGCUUAAAACUCAAAGGACUUGGCGGUGCUUUAUACCCGCCUAGAGGAGCCUGUUCUAUAAUCGAUAAACCCCGAUAAACCUUACCACUCUUUGCCAACUCAGCCUAUAUACCGCCAUCUUCAGCAAACCCUAAAAAGGAACAAAAGUAAGCUCAAUCAUCACCAUAAAAACGUUAGGUCAAGGUGUAGCCUAUAGAGUGGAAAGCAAUGGGCUACAUUUUCUAGUUCAGAACACACGAAAGCCCCUAUGAAACUCUAGGGGCCAAAGGAGGAUUU